Molecule: long non-coding RNA, 363 nt
Organism: Triticum aestivum (bread wheat)
Lineage: Eukaryota; Viridiplantae; Streptophyta; Magnoliopsida; Poales; Poaceae
Exons: 3
Source: RefSeq, a predicted model, not a curated record
GGGAGUGCCACUUGUCCAUGUUGGUCAGGACACACACUUGGACUAUCGAGUUAUUGAUGUCCGAACACUGGCAAAUCAAGUCAUUUUCCGUAUACAACAUCAAGUUGAAAACAUUGGUGAAAGCAACACCAUCGGCGUUCGUCGCCUUCAUCCUGGACCUCCCCAUGUUGUCUCUGUACUGCCCAACGGUACAUCAUAUGCUUCUCCUCCAUUGUCGAUUGUUCACUAGGCUGGCCCAUGGAAGCACCACCGCUCAGUGGCCUUAGCGCUGGACCACGAGGUUGGAUAGGGCAAGCAUGUGUAUUCUUUAAUUAUUGGAGGCUUUCAUAUUCAUAUAUCAAUACAAGGCGGGAUAUGAUGCAG